AGUGAACGCUGGCGGUAGGCCUAACACAUGCAAGUCGAACGGCAGCACAGUAAGAGCUUGCUCUUACGGGUGGCGAGUGGCGGACGGGUGAGGAAUACAUCGGAAUCUACUUUUUCGUGGGGGAUAACGUAGGGAAACUUACGCUAAUACCGCAUACGACCUACGGGUGAAAGCAGGGGAUCUUCGGACCUUGCGCGAUUGAAUGAGCCGAUGUCGGAUUAGCUAGUUGGCGGGGUAAAGGCCCACCAAGGCGACGAUCCGUAGCUGGUCUGAGAGGAUGAUCAGCCACACUGGAACGGAGACACGGUCCAGACUCCUACGGGAGGCAGCAGUGGGGAAUAUUGGACAAUGGGCGCAAGCCUGAUCCAGCUAUACCGCGUGGGUGAAGAAGGCCUUCGGGUUGUAAAGCCCUUUUGUUGGGAAAGAAAAGCAGCAGGUUAAUACCCCGCUGUUCUGACGGUACCCAAAGAAUAAGCACCGGCUAACUUCGU
RNAcentral lists this ribosomal RNA (491 nucleotides) under uncultured bacterium. RNAcentral's name for it is "partial 16S ribosomal RNA". It matches the Rfam family "Bacterial small subunit ribosomal RNA", at positions 29 to 506 of the family's 1533-position model. The record is from RNAcentral.